Phascolarctos cinereus (koala) is the source of this 579-nucleotide non-coding RNA. Lineage: Eukaryota; Metazoa; Chordata; Mammalia; Diprotodontia; Phascolarctidae. The record is from RefSeq and is a predicted model, not a curated record.
ACUGAAAAGAAGAGCAAAACCCUUGUAACCAAUAUGCAUGGUUAAGCAAAAUAAAUUUCUGUGUUGGCUGUGUCCAAAAAAUAAAUAUAUCAUUGCCAGGAGAUACCUUCUCCAGAUAAGCAGCACAACAAGACACACAGAGGCAGAUGAAGAGGCUCUUGGGAUCCUGGACCAUGGUGAUCUAAUUGUACCUAGACACGGUGGUUGCUAACUCACAAUGUGUGGGAAGGAGGUCAGUAUCACUGAACUUGGCUGGGACUUGUGCUCGAUUCACAACAAUGGAGACCACCCUGAAAUUCAAAGGAAGGGAAAAAGGACCUGGUGCUGCUCAUACAGAUGCGGGCUCUGCUGCCAGACACUGACAUAGACUCCAUCGAUGCUGUUCCAUUAGAUGCUGUUCAGCCGGACGCCUGAUCUCCAAUAUCUCCAGUUUCUAGCUCAGCUGGGAUCUGUGGCUAUCCCCUUCUCAAGGGAUGAGCACGUGCUCCCAUGAUUUUUAAAGUUUAAAUCAUAAGUUUGUAUACUUUUUUUCCCCUCCUGGCUGUUUUACAAAAGGUAGAAGCCUUGUCUGGAACAGUA